RNAcentral lists this long non-coding RNA (1074 nucleotides) under Heterocephalus glaber (naked mole-rat). Its description in RNAcentral is "lncRNA (ENSHGLG00100041137.1)". Lineage: Eukaryota; Metazoa; Chordata; Mammalia; Rodentia; Bathyergidae. The record is from RNAcentral.
AUCUAAAACACAGAUAUUUUGUACAAUUUGGAAAAUACAACAAAAGAAAAGAAGGAGUCAUCUUUACUUUCACCAUAAAAUACUACAUAUUUGCCAGUCAGUAGAAUUUUAAUGAUGAUUAAAACACUGACCAGUGUUUCAAGUAAAAUAUGGGCAACUAUGGAAGGUUCAUAUAGAAAUAGACAAUCAACAGGUAGUUCCACAGCAGAGAAGAACGGAGGCAUGGAAAAAUUACCAUUCAUUUUUACUUGUAUGUUUAUCUAAAAAUAUAUCAUUUAAUAAUGAAUAGGUAGUUGGAUCCAGUAACAGAAGGAAGGAGAGAAGGAGGGAAGGAGGGAGAGAGGAGGAAAUAAAGGACAAAAGGAAGAAACAAGCAACAUAGAUGUAAAGGGUGGCAGAGAAAAGUUGCUCAUGUGUUGGAGUCUGGGAAACAGAACAGGGGAAUAGUACAGGAAGAAAGAGAUGAGAAACCCAAGGCAUACUCCAUGACCCAUCCAUACACCUGGAAGUGUGCUCCACCAAUCACCUAAGAAAUCUCACCAUAUCCCAAAGCCAAGCAAGUUGACAUUCCGACUUAGCAGCCACAGAUGGAUUGGGGACAAGAAUGGCAAUGAAGUCUCAAGGAAAGCAGGGAGGAUGUUGUCAGACUACAGAUGUACUAGAUUCUUUGAUACUCUGGAUGGCAUCUAACUACAAGUAGAAGCAACAUACAAACUAUGCAGCUCCUACCUGAUUCUCUCAGUAUGCUCACUCUCCAGAUUCUCCUAGGAAGUACUUCUCAGAACCCCAGGAUCACACAGUAAGAAGCCCAAACUCAUCUAAAAAUUAAUGUUGCAGAUACUAUGUUCAAGUAAUGAACCUUCCAGGGAAAAACAACAGAGGAAACGUUCUUCGAUGAACAAGGCAGACAGUCCUUCAGAUUGCAAGCAUCUAUCUAAUCUUAGCCAGGGAAGCUAGUAUUCACACACACACACACACACACGCACACACACACACACACACACUUCUGCUUUCCUCUUAAUCCUUUCUUGAUGAAGUCAAGUGAAGCCUCACCAAACAGAUGACAAUAAGGCC